This 456-nucleotide ribosomal RNA is filed under the name uncultured bacterium. Its description in RNAcentral is "bacterial SSU rRNA". It matches the Rfam family "Bacterial small subunit ribosomal RNA", at positions 335 to 799 of the family's 1533-position model. The record is from RNAcentral.
ACUCCUACGGGAGGCAGCAGUGGGGAAUAUUGCACAAUGGGCGGAAGCCUGAUGCAGCAACGCCGCGUGCGGGAUGACGGCCUUCGGGUUGUGAAAUCCGCAUUUCGCCUGUGACGAAGCGUGAGUGACGGUAAUGGGUAAAGAAGCACCGGCUAACUACGUGCCAGCAGCCGCGGUGAUACGUAGGGUGCGAGCGUUGUCCGGAUUUAUUGGGCGUAAAGGGCUCGUAGGUGGUUGAUCGCGUCGGAAGUGUAAUCUUGGGGCUUAACCCUGAGCGUGCUUUCGAUACGGGUUGACUUGAGGAAGGUAGGGGAGAAUGGAAUUCCUGGUGGAGCGGUGGAAUGCGCAGAUAUCAGGAGGAACACCAGUGGCGAAGGCGGUUCUCUGGGCCCUUUCCUGACGCUGAGGAGCGAAAGCGUGGGGGAGCGAACAGGCUUAGAUACCCUGUAGGCUCUG